CAAGGAAGGCAGCAGGCGCGCAAAUUACCCACUCCCGGCACGGGGAGGUAGUGACGAAAAAUAACGAUACGGGACUCAUCCGAGGCCCCGUAAUCGGAAUGAGUACACUUUAAAUCCUUUAACGAGGAUCAAUUGGAGGGCAAGUCUGGUGCCAGCAGCCGCGGUAAUUCCAGCUCCAAUAGCGUAUAUUAAAGUUGUUGCGGUUAAAAAGCUCGUAGUCGAAUCUGUGUCGUGCGCCGCCGGUUCAUCGCUCGCGGUGUCAACUGGCGUGUCGCAGGACGUCCUGCCGGUGGACUUAGUUUCGUCGUCGCGCGCGUCUCUCGUCGGUCGUUUCCAAAACGGUCGUCGGAACGUCGCGGCGGCGGGGCGGUCCAACUUUAACGAUCCCACCGCGGUGCUCUUCGCUGAGUGUCGAGGUGGGCCGGCACGUUUACUUUGAACAAAUUAGAGUGCUUAAAGCAGGCUAGAAACUUCGCCUGAAUACUGUGUGCAUGGAAUAAUGGAAUAGGACCUCGGUUCUAUUUUGUUGGUUUUCGGAACCCCGAGGUAAUGAUUAAUAGGAACGGAUGGGGGCAUUCGUAUUGCGACGUUAGAGGUGAAAUUCUUGGAUCGUCGCAAGACGAACUUAAGCGAAAGCAUUUGCCAAAAACGUUUUCAUUGAUCAAGAACGAAAGUUAGAGGUUCGAAGGCGAUCAGAUACCGCCCUAGUUCUAACCAUAAACGAUGCCAGCUAGCGAUCCGCCGACGUUCCUCCGAUGACUCGGCGGGCAGCUUCCGGGAAACCAAAGCUUUUGGGUUCCGGGGGAA
Molecule: ribosomal RNA, 807 nt
Filed under: Sphyracus sp. MSC-2013
Lineage: Eukaryota; Metazoa; Arthropoda; Insecta; Coleoptera; Histeridae
Description: bacterial SSU rRNA
Rfam family: Eukaryotic small subunit ribosomal RNA
Source: RNAcentral